RNAcentral lists this ribosomal RNA (778 nucleotides) under alpha proteobacterium IMCC1730. Its description in RNAcentral is "bacterial SSU rRNA". It matches the Rfam family "Bacterial small subunit ribosomal RNA", at positions 69 to 892 of the family's 1533-position model. The record is from RNAcentral. Lineage: Bacteria; Pseudomonadati; Pseudomonadota; Alphaproteobacteria.
AGACCUUCGGGUCUAGUGGCGCACGGGUGCGUAACGCGUGGGAAUCUACCCUUUGCUACGGAAUAACUCAGAGAAAUUUGUGCUAAUACCGUAUGAUGUCGAAAGACCAAAGAUUUAUCGGCAAAGGACGAGCCCGCGUAGGAUUAGCUAGUUGGUGUGGUAAAGGCGCACCAAGGCGACGAUCCUUAGCUGGUCUGAGAGGAUGAUCAGCCACACUGGGACUGAGACACGGCCCAGACUCCUACGGGAGGCAGCAGUGGGGAAUAUUGGACAAUGGGCGAAAGCCUGAUCCAGCAAUGCCGCGUGAGUGAUGAAGGCCUUAGGGUUGUAAAGCUCUUUUACCAGGGAUGAUAAUGACAGUACCUGGAGAAUAAGCUCCGGCUAACUCCGUGCCAGCAGCCGCGGUAAUACGGAGGGAGCUAGCGUUGUUCGGAAUUACUGGGCGUAAAGCGUACGUAGGCGGUUAUUCAAGUCAGGGGUGAAAGCCUGGAGCUCAACUCCAGAACUGCCCUUGAAACUAGAUAACUAGAAUCUUGGAGAGGUGAGUGGAAUUCCGAGUGUAGAGGUGAAAUUCGUAGAUAUUCGGAAGAACACCAGUGGCGAAGGCGACUCACUGGACAAGUAUUGACGCUGAGGUACGAAAGCGUGGGGAGCANACAGGAUUAGAUACCCUGGUAGUCCACGCCGUANACGAUGAUAACUAGCUGUUCGGGCUCUACGAGCUUGAGUGGCGCAGCUAACGCAUUAAGUUAUCCCGCCUGGGGAGUACGGUCGCAAG